UAAGCGGAGGAAAAGAAACUAACAAGGAUUCCCCUAGUAACUGCGAGUGAAGCGGGAAAAGCUCAAAUUUGGAAUCUGGUGGUCUUUGGCCAUCCGAGUUGUAAUUUAGAGAAGCGUCUUCCGCGCUGGACCGUGCACAAGUCUCCUGGAAUGGAGCGUCAUAGAGGGUGAGAAUCCCGUCUUUGGCAUGGAAUCCCAGGGCUUCGGUGAUGCGCUCUCGACGAGUCGAGUUGUUUGGGAAUGCAGCUCAAAAUGGGUGGUGAACUCCAUCUAAAGCCAAAUAUUGGCGAGAGACCGAUAGCGAACAAGUACCGUGAGGGAAAGAUGAAAAGCACUUUGGAAAGAGAGUGAAACAGUACGUGAAAUUGUUGAAAGGGAAACGCUUGAAGUCAGUCGCGUCGACCGAGACUCAGCCUUGCCUCGGCUUGGUGUACUUCUCGGCUUGACGGGUCAGCAUCGAUUUCAAUCCUCGGAUAAUGGCAAGGGAAGGGUAGCACCUUUUUAGGUGUGUUAUAGUCCUCUGUCGCAUGCGAGGGUCGGGAUCGAGGAACUCAGCACGCACCUCAGGGUGUCGGGGCCUUGGCCCACGUUUACGUGCUUAGGAUGCUGGCGUAAUGGCUUUAAACGACC
This 630-nucleotide ribosomal RNA is filed under the name uncultured Russulaceae. Its description in RNAcentral is "LSU rRNA". It matches the Rfam family "Eukaryotic large subunit ribosomal RNA", at positions 47 to 649 of the family's 3401-position model. Lineage: Eukaryota; Fungi; Basidiomycota; Agaricomycetes; Russulales; Russulaceae. The record is from RNAcentral.